CCGAGUUGUAAUCUGGAGAAGCAUUUUCUGUGUCRGACCGUGUACAAGUCUCUUGGAAUAGAGUGUCAUAGAGGGUGAGAGUCCCGUCCAUGACACGGAUCCUGAUGCUUUGUGAUAUGCUCUCGAAGAGUCGAGUUGUUUGGGAAUGCAGCUCAAAAUGGGUGGUAAAUUCCAUCUAAAGCUAAAUAUUGGCGAGAGACCGAUAGCGAACAAGUACCGUGAGGGAAAGAUGAAAAGCACUUUGGAAAGAGAGUUAAACAGUACGUGAAAUUGUUGAAAGGGAAACGCUUGAAGUCAGUCGCGUUGUCUGGAACUCAGCCUUGCU
This 325-nucleotide ribosomal RNA is filed under the name Xylodon australis. Its description in RNAcentral is "partial large subunit ribosomal RNA". The record is from RNAcentral. Lineage: Eukaryota; Fungi; Basidiomycota; Agaricomycetes; Hymenochaetales; Schizoporaceae.